Phyllosticta citrichinensis is the source of this 104-nucleotide non-coding RNA. The record is from the annotation of a GenBank genome assembly. NCBI's taxonomy places the organism in Eukaryota, Fungi, Ascomycota, Dothideomycetes, Botryosphaeriales, Phyllostictaceae.
GCGUUGGUGGUUUAGUGGUAAAAUUGAUCGUUGCCAUUCUCGAACAUUUCACACGGUUCGAACAUUAUCUCGAUCAGCCCCGGGUUCGAUUCCCGGCCGACGCA